Schistocerca americana (American grasshopper) is the source of this 720-nucleotide long non-coding RNA. RefSeq lists it as uncharacterized. The record is from RefSeq and is a predicted model, not a curated record. NCBI's taxonomy places the organism in Eukaryota, Metazoa, Arthropoda, Insecta, Orthoptera, Acrididae. The transcript is spliced from 3 exons.
GCUACGGACCGACAACAGGUGACGCCGCCGCCGCCCAGCCGAAGCGAAGCGUAGUGGGCCGACGAAGCGUUUCAGCACACGCCUCAGCGCUGCUAGCGCCGUCGCUGGUCUACGGGUACUGUGCGUGAAUCUCGACAGUCGGCGCGAUGCGCAGAGUGACCCGCCUGUGACGAUGACAACCUGUGCAGACCUUACAUCCCAGUGAUACUUUUUAUUUCCUUGCGCGCGGUUGUUUCCGGUCACGACAAAUCACGUCCUAAAUGGAGCUCUCUGCUCUGACGGAUGGACUGACAUUAUCCAGGUAGUGUUCUGUUGACUGGUCGCCGCCAAGAACAGGCUAAUCUUGCUCAUCUGCUGGCGUCAGGGCAGCCACUGGUCGCCAGCAACACCUCUGAGGCGAGGCCAAGAGGCGGCACUCGUGGUCCAGCGACUGUGACUUCCAGCUGGUGGCCGGGGCGACUCUGCAGCCUCGCGCCCUCUCCACGUGGUACCUCACCGCAACGGAUGGCGUUCCGGACGUUGUCGGGCCUUGCGGUAGUGGAGGAGGAGUCGGCAGUAGCAGUAGCAGUACCGACAAUAGCAGUGACGAGGAGGGAGGAGACACCGACGACGGAAGAGACGGCGGCGGGGGCGGCAGCGGUGGCAACGACGGCGACGAAGAGGAAGAAGAGGAGGAGGGCGGCGGGCAAGAGGAGGCCGGGGGCUGCGGGGGCGAAGCUG